Molecule: ribosomal RNA, 253 nt
Filed under: uncultured bacterium
Lineage: Bacteria
Description: partial 16S ribosomal RNA
Rfam family: Bacterial small subunit ribosomal RNA
Source: RNAcentral
UACGUAGGGGGCAAGCGUUGUCCGGAAUUAUUGGGCGUAAAGCGCGUGUAGGCGGCCAGAAAAGUCCGCUGUGAAAACUCGAGGCUCAACUUCGAGCUGUCGGUGGAAACUUUCUGGCUAGAGUCCGGAAGAGGAGAAUGGAAUUCCUGGUGUAGCGGUGAAAUGCGCAGAUAUCAGGAAGAACACCCGUGGCGAAGGCGGUUCUCUGGGACGGUACUGACGCUGAGGAGCGAAAGCGUGGGGAGCGAACAGG